RNAcentral lists this small RNA (811 nucleotides) under Pan troglodytes (chimpanzee). RNAcentral's name for it is "processed transcript". Lineage: Eukaryota; Metazoa; Chordata; Mammalia; Primates; Hominidae. The record is from RNAcentral.
UGCUUCUAGGAAGUAGAGCGCCGGCUCGCAUGCCUGCCCGCCCGCCAGCCUGCCGGAAUGAAACUAGUGAUCGAGAAGAUGGCCUCCCCAAAGGACAUCAUGUGACAGACUCUGAGAAUGAUGAGCCCUUAAAUCUUAAUGCUAGUGACUCUGAAAGUGAGGAGCUUCACAGGCAAAAGGACAGUGACUCUGAAUCUGAGGAACGUGCAGAGCCUCCUGCAAGCGAUUCUGAAAAUGAGGAUGUCAAUCAGCAUGGGAGCGACUCUGAGAGUGAAGAGACCAGGAAAUUACCUGGUAGUGACUCUGAAAAUGAGGAACUUCUUAAUGGGCAUGCAAGUGACUCAGAAAACGAAGAUGUUGAGAAGCAUCCCGCCAGUGAUUCUGAGAUUGAGGAGCUCCAGAAGAGUCCUGCUAGUGACUCUGAAACAGAAGAUGCUCUAAAACCUCAAAUCAGUGACUCUGAGAGUGAGGAACCCCCAAGGCACCAAGCCAGUGACUCCGAAAAUGAGGAGCCUCCCAAACCUCGAAUGAGUGAUUCUGAAAGUGAGGAGCUUCCUAAGCCUCAGGUCAGUGAUUCAGAAAGUGAGGAACCCCCAAGGCACCAGGCCAGUGACUCUGAAAAUGAGGAGCUUCCCAAACCUCGUAUCAGUGACUCAGAAAGUGAGGACCCUCCGAGGCACCAGGCCAGUGACUCAGAAAAUGAAGAGCUUCCCAAACCCCGAAUCAGUGAUUCGGAAAGUGAGGAUCCCCCAAGGAACCAGGCCAGUGAUUCUGAAAAUGAGGAGCUACCCAAACCCCGAGUCAGUGACUC